Molecule: ribosomal RNA, 244 nt
Filed under: uncultured bacterium
Lineage: Bacteria
Description: partial 16S ribosomal RNA
Rfam family: Bacterial small subunit ribosomal RNA
Source: RNAcentral
GCAAGUCGAACGGUAAGGCCCUGCUUGCAGGGUACACGAGUGGCGAACGGGUGAGUAACGCGUACACUACCUACCUCUAAGAGAGGGAUAGCCCUGGGAAACUGGGAUUAAUACCUCAUGGUAUUGCGAUUUAACUAUUCAAUUAAAGCUCCGGCGCUUAGAGAUGGGUGUGCGUCCUAUUAGCUAGUUGGUAAGGUAACGGCUUACCAAGGCGACGAUAGGUAGGGGGCGUGAGAGCGUGAUC